This 21-nucleotide non-coding RNA is filed under the name Caenorhabditis elegans. The record is from RNAcentral. Lineage: Eukaryota; Metazoa; Nematoda; Chromadorea; Rhabditida; Rhabditidae.
UACUAUUCCAUUUAAUCAUUG